RNAcentral lists this ribosomal RNA (562 nucleotides) under uncultured bacterium. RNAcentral describes it as "partial 16S ribosomal RNA". It matches the Rfam family "Bacterial small subunit ribosomal RNA", at positions 355 to 909 of the family's 1533-position model. The record is from RNAcentral.
UGGGGAAUUUUGGACAAUGGGCGAAAGCCUGAUCCAGCAAUGCCGCGUGUGUGAAGAAGGCCUUCGGGUUGUAAAGCACUUUUGUCCGGAAAGAAAUCCUUGGCUCUAAUACAGUCGGGGGAUGACGGUACCGGAAGAAUAAGCACCGGCUAACUACGUGCCAGCAGCCGCGGUAAUACGUAGGGUGCAAGCGUUAAUCGGAAUUACUGGGCGUAAAGCGUGCGCAGGCGGUUUGCUAAGACCGAUGUGAAAUCCCCGGGCUCAACCUGGGAACUGCAUUGGUGACUGGCAGGCUAGAGUAUGGCAGAGGGGGGUAGAAUUCCACGUGUAGCAGUGAAAUGCGUAGAGAUGUGGAGGAAUACCGAUGGCGAAGGCAGCCCCCUGGGCCAAUACUGACGCUCAUGCACGAAAGCGUGGGGAGCAAACAGGAUUAGAUACCCUGGUAGUCCACGCCCUAAAACGAUGUCAACUAGUUGUUGGGGAUUCAUUUCCUUAGUAACGUAGCUAACGCGUGAAGUUGACCGCCUGGGGAGUACGGUCGCAAGAUUAAAACUCAAAUGAA